Molecule: ribosomal RNA, 492 nt
Filed under: uncultured bacterium
Lineage: Bacteria
Description: partial 16S ribosomal RNA
Rfam family: Bacterial small subunit ribosomal RNA
Source: RNAcentral
AGUGAACGCUGGCGGUAGGCCUAACACAUGCAAGUCGAACGGCAGCACAGAAAGAGCUUGCCCUUACGGGUGGCGAGUGGCGGACGGGUGAGGAAUACAUCGGAAUCUACUUUUUCGUGGGGGAUAACGUAGGGAAACUUACGCUAAUACCGCAUACGACCUACGGGUGAAAGCAGGGGAUCUUCGGACCUUGCGCGAUUGAAUGAGCCGAUGUCGGAUUAGCUAGUUGGCGGGGUAAAGGCCCACCAAGGCGACGAUCCGUAGCUGGUCUGAGAGGAUGAUCAGCCACACUGGAACUGAGACACGGUCCAGACUCCUACGGGAGGCAGCAGUGGGGAAUAUUGGACAAUGGGCGCAAGCCUGAUCCAGCCAUACCGCGUGGGUGAAGAAGGCCUUCGGGUUGUAAAGCCCUUUUGUUGGGAAAGAAAAGCAGCAGGUUAAUACCCCGCUGUUCUGACGUUACCCAAAGAAUAAGCACCGGCUAACUUCGUG